Molecule: ribosomal RNA, 378 nt
Filed under: uncultured bacterium
Lineage: Bacteria
Description: bacterial SSU rRNA
Rfam family: Bacterial small subunit ribosomal RNA
Source: RNAcentral
AUUGAACGCUGGCGGCAUGCCUUACACAUGCAAGUCGAACGGCAGCACGGGAGCAAUCCUGGUGGCGAGUGGCGAACGGGUGAGUAAUGUAUCGGAACGUACCUUUCAGUGGGGGAUAACGUAGCGAAAGUUACGCUAAUACCGCAUAUUCUGUGGGCAGGAAAGCAGGGGAUCGCAAGACCUUGCGCUGAUUGAGCGGCCGAUAUCAGAUUAGCUAGUUGGUGAGGUAAAGGCUCACCAAGGCGACGAUCUGUAGCGGGUCUGAGAGGAUGAUCCGCCACACUGGAACUGAGACACGGUCCAGACUCCUACGGGAGGCAGCAGUGGGGAAUUUUGGACAAUGGGCGCAAGCCUGAUCCAGCCAUGCCGCGUGAGUGG